AUGGUGCAAUAGAAACACUAGUUCUCGUACGAUCACCAAAGUUAAGCAAUGUUGAGCCUGGCCAGUGCCUAGAUGGGUGACCGCUUAGUAAGCUUAGGUG
Molecule: non-coding RNA, 100 nt
Organism: Acanthosepion pharaonis
Lineage: Eukaryota; Metazoa; Mollusca; Cephalopoda; Sepiida; Sepiidae
Source: the annotation of a GenBank genome assembly